AUUGAACGCUGGCGGCAGGCCUAACACAUGCAAGUCGAGCGGAGAUGAUGUGAGGAAGUUUUCGGAUGGAAUCACAUUAUUUUAGCGGCGGACGGGUGAGUAACGCGUGAGCGACCAACCUUGCACAGGGGGAUAACGGACAGAAAGGUUCACUAAUACCGCAUGAGAACACGGGGUUGCAUGAAGCAGGGGCCAAAGGGGCAAUCCGGUGCAAGACGGGCUCGCGUCCGAUUAGGUAGUUGGAGGGGUAACGGCCCACCAAGCCUAUGAUCGGUAGCCGACCUGAGAGGGUGAUCGGCCACAUUGGAACUGAGAUACGGUCCAAACUCCUACGGGAGGCAGCAGUGGGGAAUAUUGGGCAAUGGGGGAAACCCUGACCCAGCAACGCCGCGUGAAGGAAGAAGGUUUUCGGAUUGUAAACUUCUGUCCUUGGUGAAGAGAAGAAGACGGUAGCCAAGGAGGAAGCCCCGGCUAACUACGUGCCAGCCGCCGCGGUAA
Molecule: ribosomal RNA, 498 nt
Filed under: uncultured bacterium
Lineage: Bacteria
Description: partial 16S ribosomal RNA
Rfam family: Bacterial small subunit ribosomal RNA
Source: RNAcentral